CACCAAUCCAGCCAGGGUCUGCAUCCAGCCUUUUGUCUUCAGUGAAGAUUAGCAAGUCUCCCUUCUUGAAGGACAGGAUGCUGGGAUCUUCUGGAAAACAGAAUAAGGGAGUACUAUUCCAGCUUGACAAUCCAAGAAAAUGCAAAGGGAUUGCAACAUGAAAGACAAGGGAAUUGUAUUUUGAAGGUCUGAAUUCAGUUAGCAAUAGAAAGUGAUUUGUGUAAAUAUGGCUUAUUUUCCAGUAACACUUCAGAGAAAUCACUUCUGUUUCCUCUGACACCCUGAUUUUGAUCCACUGAGGGCAAUGGCAGAACUCCGUUUGAUUCACAUGAAUGCUGACUUUGUGUCUAGACUGGCAGCAAAGCAUGGAAAGGAACUCAGUAGUAUCCUUCCAGGAACAUCACCACCAGUUCAGCAAUGACAACGCUAUUUACAGAUGUCAGAACAAACUCCUCGGCACGAAGCGUGAUAAGAGUGCAACUCUGUCCAAAUGACUUCACUGCCCUAUGUAUUAUCAAACAAUUUGUUACCAGAGCAUCUGAAAAACUUACAGACCUAUCUGUAAAUACAGCCAAGGCACCCACACCUCCUUGCAGGUAACUCCCUUUCAGUGAAUAUUGGUAGUUCCUAAUUUGCCUUCCCAUGAACUGGUAGGUGUGAAGGACUGAAGUGGUUCAGCUUUACCGUGGACUCCACCAUGUUUUGUAUAAAAGUGCUUCCAUAUAGACAAAAGAACACCCUUCUUCUGGAGUAACUUGACAACUAAUUAAAUCUCUGGCAGUCCUCA
Molecule: long non-coding RNA, 787 nt
Organism: Corvus hawaiiensis (hawaiian crow)
Lineage: Eukaryota; Metazoa; Chordata; Aves; Passeriformes; Corvidae
Exons: 2
Source: RefSeq, a predicted model, not a curated record